This 917-nucleotide long non-coding RNA is filed under the name Octopus vulgaris (common octopus). The record is from RNAcentral. Lineage: Eukaryota; Metazoa; Mollusca; Cephalopoda; Octopoda; Octopodidae.
AGAUGUUUCUUGGACAACUCCGAUUCAAAUGGAAGACGUCACAGGAAGUAUGCGAGACAUUGCACAAUUCGAAGAUCUGAAACAAUUUUACUAUACAAGUGAGUGCCAGUGAGUAUUUUUCUUGAAUUCUGUUACUUUUUUUUAUUUUUAGGGGGAAUCGUGAAUAUUUCACGGAAUUAAUGGUAAACCCAAUGGGCUAUUUCUGAAAACUUUAUUCCUCUGUUGUGUCUGUAUGGAAAGAAAGUUGCUCAUCUGCUACUCAUUGAAAAGUGAAAGAAAUUGGGAUGCAAUGAGUACUUGAUGCAUUUUAUGCAGAAUACGCGCUCUCUCAAAGGUGUCGACUCCCUCCUUAACACUACAUCCACGAUUUCUUAUUUUUAUUUACAUAUACGCAUGCACCCACUGCCACUACAUGUAUAUAAACGUGAAUUGAAUUUUUUACAGACAAAUAACUGGUUGUGAGAUGUGCACGUGCGAGACUGAGAAACAUCUCAUUUCCAUGGUCUGCGAAAACAUCAGCGAGGGAGGUGAAGUUCAGUAUUUUGUCGGAAGGUUUCCUGUUGAGCAAUGCUGCGUAUGUGUACCUAACAACACAAGUAAUACAUAAUGUUUUACCUCGUCUUUUCAUACCUCUUCCCACUCCAUCCUCUUUAAACUAAAUUACUGUCUUUUUCCCUCAUCCUUCACACUUUCACCUUCUGUCACACAGUAACUUUGCUUUUCUCUUUCUUACUUUUCCUUCCUUUCCUUUAAAUUUUCUUUUUAUCGGGAUAUAUUUUUAUCAUUUUUUUUACUCAUUCUAAUCUCAAUUGCAUUUCUUAAUCUUUAAUUUAAAUUUUGGCUUCUUUUAUAUUCUAGUUUUAUUACUUGUUAUUUCUUAACCUUGACAUAGUCUGUAUCAUCCUGUUAAUUUUUCA